Molecule: ribosomal RNA, 445 nt
Filed under: uncultured bacterium
Lineage: Bacteria
Description: partial 16S ribosomal RNA
Rfam family: Bacterial small subunit ribosomal RNA
Source: RNAcentral
GUGAGGAAUAUUGCGCAAUGGAGGCAACUCUGACGCAGCCAUGCCGCGUGUAGGAAGAAGGCGCUACGCGUUGUAAACUGCUUUUAACCGGGAAGAAACCCCAGGACGUGUCCUGGGUUGACGGUACCGGAGGAAUAAGCACCGGCUAACUUCGUGCCAGCAGCCGCGGUAAUACGAAGGGUGCAAGCGUUAUCCGGAUUCAUUGGGUUUAAAGGGUGCGUAGGCGGAGCGUUAAGUCAGUGGUGAAAUCCUGCAGCUUAACUGUAGACUUGCCAUUGAUACUGGCGCUCUUGAGUGCGCUUGAAGUGGGCGGAAUGUGCCGUGUAGCGGUGAAAUGCUUAGAUAUGGCACAGAACACCAAUUGCGAAGGCAGCUCACUAAGGCGAUACUGACGCUGAGGCACGAAAGCGUGGGGAUCGAACAGGAUUAGAAACCCUUGUAGUCC